This 444-nucleotide long non-coding RNA is filed under the name Setaria viridis. RNAcentral's name for it is "long non-coding RNA (SVIR_LNC007677)". The record is from RNAcentral. Lineage: Eukaryota; Viridiplantae; Streptophyta; Magnoliopsida; Poales; Poaceae.
UUACGAAGGGCUCCGCCUAGGUUAGAAAUUAAUCAUGUUUUGUUGUGGUUCAUUCCUUCGCAUAGGAGACGGUGGCUAAUUCCAGAGACGUCGGCCUCUCGUUUAUAUCUGCACAGACAUCCCACUUUUAACACUUUUUUGUACGAAGGGCUCCGCCUAGGUUAGAAAUUAAUCGUUGCCGCGGCCACCUCGCUCCAUCCCCGCCGCCGCCGCCCCGGCCACCUCGUCGCCUAACCUAGGCAUCGUCGACCGCGCGAGGUCUGCCGGCACUGGCGCCGGGAAUGAAUUAGUUAUAAAAUCAAUAGAUAUUUGUAUAUUAGUUAGAAAAUCAAAUUAGUAGGAAUUAGUAGUAAUUAGUAGUAAUUUGCUAGAAAUUCCAAUAAAUAUGUAUAUAUUAGUAGAAAUUUGGUAGAAAUUCGUACAAAGUACUACUAAUUUGUUGAA